This 612-nucleotide long non-coding RNA is filed under the name Marmota monax (woodchuck). The record is from RNAcentral. Lineage: Eukaryota; Metazoa; Chordata; Mammalia; Rodentia; Sciuridae.
GGUUUUUUUUUUUUCCUCUUCAACUGUAGGCUACUGAGUUCUAUUUUAUAGAAUAGGAAAUAUUCUGGAAUGCCCACAUUUGAUCAUGAUCCUAGAAUCACUUAACAAUAAGUAGAGAUAACGCUGAGGUCUAGGUCCCUGUCUGCCCUGUACCGUGUUGUAUUUGGGUCAACAAUUUUAAAAAAAUCCAUUUUAAACAAAUAUUGAGACAGAACAAUUUAAAACAACCACAGAAGUAAGGUUGACAAUAUGAUUUUUAAAUAUUUUUACAUAUUUUUCUUUUUGUUCUAAUUGGCUCUACAUGACAGUUGAAUGCACUUUGAUACAUCAUACAUAGAUGGAGUAUAACUUCUCAUUCUGCUGGCUGUACAUGAUGUAGAAUCACACCAGUUGUGCAGCCAUAUACACACACAGGGUCCUAAUGUCUGAUUCAUUCUACCCCAUACCUCUUCCCCUCGUGUUACCGCCCUGUACCUAAUCCAAAGUACCUCUAUUCUUCCCCACCCCCACCCCCAUUGUGAAUUAGCAUCCACAUGGCCUUUGGAUUUGGGGGAUCGGCUUAUUUCACUGAGCCUGAUAUUCUCCAGCUCCAUCCAUUUACCAACAAAUGCC